RNAcentral lists this ribosomal RNA (615 nucleotides) under uncultured bacterium. Its description in RNAcentral is "bacterial SSU rRNA". It matches the Rfam family "Bacterial small subunit ribosomal RNA", at positions 338 to 944 of the family's 1533-position model. The record is from RNAcentral.
CCUACGGGAGGCAGCAGUGGGGAAUUUUGGACAAUGGGCGCAAGCCUGAUCCAGCAAUGCCGCGUGAGUGAAGAAGGCCUUCGGGUUGUAAAGCUCUUUUGUCAGGGAAGAAACGGUGGGGGCUAAUAUCCCUCGCUAAUGACGGUACCUGAAGAAUAAGCACCGGCUAACUACGUGCCAGCAGCCGCGGUAAUACGUAGGGUGCAAGCGUUAAUCGGAAUUACUGGGCGUAAAGCGUGCGCAGGCGGUUUUGUAAGUCUGUCGUGAAAGCCCCGGGCUCAACCUGGGAAUUGCGAUGGAGACUGCAAGGCUUGAAUCUGGCAGAGGGGGGUAGAAUUCCACGUGUAGCAGUGAAAUGCGUAGAGAUGUGGAGGAACACCGAUGGCGAAGGCAGCCCCCUGGGUCAAGAUUGACGCUCAUGCACGAAAGCGUGGGGAGCAAACAGGAUUAGAUACCCUGGUAGUCCACGCCCUAAACGAUGUCUACUAGUUGUCGGGUUUUAAUUAACUUGGUAACGCAGCUAACGCGUGAAGUAGACCGCCUGGGGAUACGGUCGCAAGAUUAAAACUCAAAGGAAUUGACGGCUGAGACNGCGAGACGACGACGAGGAGGAGG